RNAcentral lists this long non-coding RNA (5427 nucleotides) under Lotus japonicus. RNAcentral's name for it is "long non-coding RNA (LJAP_LNC001425)". Lineage: Eukaryota; Viridiplantae; Streptophyta; Magnoliopsida; Fabales; Fabaceae. The record is from RNAcentral.
UUCCUGCUUUUUCGACGAAAACUUCCCUCACUGGGUCCACUGCUUCAUGGCGGUCCACAUCUAACCCAAAUUCAGAAGGGAAAAACCUCUGUUUCACAUCAAAAUUCAAGGUUCAAUUAGCACUAAGCAAAUUGAACCAGAGAUAAUUAUAGCCAAUGAAUAAAUAAUUAAGUUACCUUGAUGUUUCCAGCUUCUUUGAUUGCUGCAAUGAUCUUGACCUGAUCUAGAAUUAGAAGUCUACCUGUUGUGCAGAUGACAAUAUCAACUUGCUUCAUUGCCUUAACCAAACUUUCAUGAUCACUUAUGUCACCCUGCAGCAUCAUGCACAAUUAAUCAAACAGAAUCAGAACAGUGAACUAGUUUGAGAUUAGUUGUAAAAUUGAAAUGAAUAUAGGUCAUGUUUGGAUACGGACUACAUAACACUUAUUGGAGCUUAUCUACUAAAAAAAACAGCAAAUAAGUGUUCGCGCAUUCAAACAGACUCAUAUACAUAUUCAAAUCACAUAUUUACAUACCUCUAGGAGAAUAACUCCUAAACUUUUGAAGUUGUCGAUGAGCUCUUCUUUGGUUUCAGGAUUAGCAGCUGUGAUGAGCUUUGGCUUCUCAAUAGUGACACUGUUCUUCCUCACCAAAGCGUAUGUUGGGUUUCCUGCUUUGACACUUGCCCAAAUUACAUGUCUUCCAAUUGCUCCUGUGGGUCCGAUCACAAGGAUUCUGUCUUGUGGUGCCAUCAGAAGUCAGAACAAUUAGAACUUAAUUUGUUGUGAAAUUAACAACACAAGAGACAAGCACAACACUAGUGUGUUUUGCUACUUAACAAAAGAAGUAGUGAGAGUGCUGUGGUUGUGGUGCAAAGAAUAACACUUUGCUUGGUAUUUAUAAUAAGGUUCCUAGACAGUGUAGCAUGGCACCAACCAUAUUAUUGAGUCAAUUACUAUACAUUUUGAUUUUCCUCAUGACGACGCCAGUCGCCAUCGGCAGCCUUCUAGUCUAAAUUGGCUCCUUCAAGCACUGUCUCUACUCGAUUACUGCCACUCUGUUUGAACUUUGAAUUUAUCUAGUAAACAUUAAUUCUAUAUAAAAUUGAUGACUUCAUUUAUGAAUCAAGACAACAUUAGUUCACAAGUUAAAAGUGGUUUGUUUGCAAAUUAAUUUUAUCAAAUAAGGAGUACGUUCUAAAUAAUAUAUGUAUUAAAUGUUAGGAAUACAAUCAAAAAAUGUUAGGAAUAAACUAAAAAUAUGGUUUAUGGAUUAACCCUUUUUAUUUUGAUUAAAAUUGCCUUGGUUUCUAAUUUCAAUUCUGUUAGUUUUAAUUCAUGUGUAUAGAAAAGCUAAUAAUGUUGCGCGUACAGCAUACUCUUGCUAAAUUUUCGUUGACGCAUGAAGAUGAGACUUUGUUUAAUUGUUUUUUUUUUUUGAUAAACCAAAGAAUUGUAUUCAAAUUUAGCACAAGGGGUACUAAUCCCAAAUAUAAGAAGAGAAAGGAGAAAAAAUAAAAAUACAAAAAUCAACCCAAACCAGGUCCAUGCACUCACCAGACGCAAGGCACAAACACCAGACAGUUAAAACCCACCCAAUUACAAGCCAGACCCUGCCAAAACUAAUUAAUAAGCUAAAAUUGAUUAAUGUAGCUUCUCUUUUUCGUCAAAAAAAUUGAUUAUGAUUUUUUUUUAAAAUUGAUUAUGCAAAAAGCGACUUUAAGUAAAAUGAUUUAUAUUUAUAUAUAUAUAUAUAUAGAUACAUUUAUUAAUUAAUUAACGAGAGAAAGUGAAUCUAUAAGUGAUAAUGUGAAGUUCAACUAUAGAAUCUCAUAUUUCACUUGUUGAAGUUAACUUUGUAGCUUAAUUAUCUCAUAAUUAAUUUUAAAACUAUUAAGUUGAAACUAUUACGUAUUAUAUUACAUGUAACAUAUUCAUUAUUAUUAAAUAAAAUAAAUCUCACCAUAUAUCCAGAGUUUACUAUCUAUCUACUGUCCUCGUAAGAUAACUCAAGUGGUAGGAGUUAGGGGACAUAUGAGUUGGUGAGAGAAAGGAGUAAUUCUUCCGAUAACAUUUUUGGUGAUAUUUUUGACCGAUGUUAUCACCCAUUCAAGAAAAUGUUGUAUUUUUUUUUUACAUCGGAAAGAUAAAUUGCACCCUUUAUGAAUUAAUCUUUGAACCCCCUCACCCCAAUAUAUAUGUUCCCUAACUCUUACCGAAAGGGUUGUAUAUUUUCAUCAACAAAUGUUAUUUUCAAGAUAACUUCUACUCUUAUUUUAUGGGUCUAACUUAUUUAUCACUAGCUAGAUUAACACUUAGUUGAUAUAUUUUUCAGUGAUACGGUGCAAUAUGAUUGAAUGUUUGGAUUAAAAAUAAUAAUUGUUUUAUCAAAUUAAUGAACAAGAAGAUGGUCUGAUUAGUGAGUACUUUUCUUUUUCGCAUGAAAAGGAAGUCAUAAAUCAAACAACGGAACGUUCAAACCAUGAAUCACUUUUACAUAAAAAUAUUACAAAUAUUGAACAGAAAGAAGAAAGGGAUAAAAAAACACAUAAUUUCGUGGUCUAACGUUAGACAUGAGCAGCCCAUGCUGAAAAGUCACAGUUCUGAUGUUCUUCAUCAUAAUAUUGUUUAUGUCUCUAAUUCUUGCUCUAAUUAGUAUUGGUAGGUAGUAAGUAUAACUAAGCUACCCUCACUUCACCACAUGAUAAUAAGAAAUUGUUCAAAUGGUGACGCUGUCGUCCACCGACGAUUGGACUCUUCCACAGUAGUGGAUAAUGCUAUUUUCAUAUUUUAAAUAUAAUUAUAUCUUAAGAGAGAUAGAACGAUUAGAGGGGAAAAUGAAAGGUACGUGCUAGAUAAUGUAAUGUAAUGAAAUAUAUAAAAAAGAGAAACGAGUGAAAAUAAGAUAGAAGAAAAAAUAAUGUGUGAUGAAUACUUGAACCACCCUUCCUUAAUAAUUGACUACAAUAAAAAAAUAUGAUAUUAAUAAUUAUACACUAAUUGAGUAGACAAAGUGACAAACUUACAAAAAAAAAUUAUUUGAAAGAAAUUUAUUAAUAAAAUGAUCAAACAAACAUAGAAGAAGCUAUUACAUCAAACCGAACAUGUGGGGUGGAGGUCACUUGGAGGCGCCUCUUCAACUCAAAUAGAAGUGAGAAAAAAAUAGGCGGUUUUAAUUAGUUAGGUAGUUUACAACAUAGUAGUUACUAGAACAACGAACAAAGGAAAAAAAAAAUCAAAAGCUGAAGUUAAGUAUCUACAAUCAUUAAUAACAAAAACAAAAUACAAGUUGAUCAUGCACCCUCCUAUAAUAACGAACACCGUAAAGUUGCAAGCUAUUUGUCUCAAAGCGCACUUUUCAGAAGCCUAAGUCAGAAGCAAAGGACAAGUCCACACAACAUAUUCAAAGGACAAGCCCACACAGCAACCAAGACCUCCCUGAAGUGAUCGCGAGCAACGAGCCCCAAGCGUGCGUCCUUCACGACGCGUCAAAAUUAACCUUCGCAACAUCAUCAGAAGGUCGUUGCCAAGAGGAAGGAAGCCCACGAUGGAAUGUGCAUUUGAUCUUACGGGAGUGGGACGAAACCAUUAAGGAUGAAGUGCUUGUCAUAAGUCGCUCGUGUGAAGGUUGGACACCCUUAAAAAUAAGAUGACUUCUAGUCUCCCAAAUCGCAUAGAUCAAGGACAUAUGUAGGGAAUAACAGCUGCACAACGAUCUUUUCACAAUGCUGUUGAAAUUUGUCAAUUCAAAAAACUAUUGAUUAAUUCUUUAAGAAGAAUGAGUUCAAUGAUGGCAAUCAACCUCAAACUACUGCUAUAUCAUUAAAUGUUAGUACAUGCUUAAAUAUUCCACCACAAGAUGAAUGACCUUCAAAAUGUAGAAUAAUGUAGCUAUAAAAAUGGGUGCUAUUGAUUAGAUUGUGAUCUUAGAUUGCGUGCAAUAAUUUGAGUUUCCUUUUAAUCAAAGAAAUGAAAUCCAUUGUGUUUAUCUCAAGGUCGGUCAAUAUCAAUCAAGAAAUAUAUAAUUUCUUUUUUUAUGAGAAGUUGAUAAUGUUGACAAUUUCAAGCUUAUUGGUUCGAAGCACAUUCAUGCUGGUUGGUGCACUCACUUGAGAAUGAUGGUAUUUAUUGUCUAUCGUGUUAUCUCUUUGGCAAGAAUGAACCAGACAACAACUGCAUUUAUAGCUGAUGGGUUUUGUAAAUGUAAGAAAAUCAAUGAAGAAGGAGUACAUUGUCCUUGAAGGAAAAUUAUCGUCUCUCCUCAUAUAUCUGUCAAAUAUUAAGGAUAGCAAGAACCAAUCUCUAGUACAUCUAAAUAUUAUUUGGAAAGCAAGCUUGGAAAAUAACCGAAGCUUAAGACAAUUGAUGGUAUUUGUUGUAGCAUAAUUUUGAUUAUUGAAAGGAAAUGCACAUGUCAUGUCUAGUUUUAUGAAAUAUAUGUUAUUUUGCAUGAUUUAAAUUUUACAUAAUUGCUAAUAAUAAAUGUUAUAUAAUUUUGUAGUCACUGAAAAUUUUAUUUAGUGAUGUUAAUUUAAUUUCCACCCCUGCCUGUUUUUUCUUGUCCCGUGGCCGGGAGAAAGGUCCAAUGAACAAGUGUGAGCACUGAGCAGCCAUACAAUAGGAGGACAAAAGAGAUUAUAUUAUUCAAAAUGAAUUACAUCAACGGGAUGUGAUUAUUCACGAGAGGACAGGCACAAAUAACAAACAAUGGAAAUAGUUUAAAGCCUGAUAAAUCAUUUUUUUCUCAAAAUUCAGACAAACUGGUUCAAAUAUUCAUCUACGGUGGUGAAUUUGACAUCAGGGUAAAGCUCAUGAGCCUCAGCAUCCUUGGCAGGGUCAAUCUCAUACACUGCAUCUCCCUUUAACUGCUGUGAGUGGUACAGAGCCAAUAGGUAGUUGUGAGGGAAACCAGAUUCUGUUGCAAAAACAUAAACACCCACAUCAGAAAUCAAAACAAGAUCAUUAAUUAAUUUAAGUAAAUUGAUGCAUGUAAGUAUGUAACAUAAUUAAUACUCAUGUUUAGUUGAAUAUUGUGAUUUGUGAAGUCUAAUUAAAAUGAGUUUUUGUAACUGACCCUUGAUGUCCUUAAGAACUUGUUCCUCAGGAACAUAGGUUUUCUCCAAAGUCUUCCCAAUCUUCUUCUCCCACAAUGCCAUGAUCUCAUUUGCUGUCAAAUAAUUAGCAGGGAGUCUUAUGUGGACAGCCUUGUUCAAUGUUCUGGGAUCGUUCGCGGCUAAGACGGUGAAAGUCCCCACAUCUGCCUCAGUGAUAUAAGCUCCUGAAAUUAACAAGUAAAUCAAAUAUAUAAUCAAUAUACACCCUUAUUGAAGCAAUUCAUCAAACAUUACUGUGUGUGCUAAAACUGUUUAGAAUGGACUAAUUGAGGUGUUUCAUGUUUGUGAUUGUUAGAUGAUUACCUUUGACAUUUCCAUCUCCUAGAAUGAUGACC